This 73-nucleotide transfer RNA is filed under the name Podarcis lilfordi (Lilford's wall lizard). It matches the Rfam family "tRNA". Rfam says of the family: Transfer RNA (tRNA) molecules are approximately 80 nucleotides in length. Their secondary structure includes four short double-helical elements and three loops (D, anti-codon, and T loops). Further hydrogen bonds mediate the characteristic L-shaped molecular structure. tRNAs have two regions of fundamental functional importance: the anti-codon, which is responsible for specific mRNA codon recognition, and the 3' end, to which the tRNAs corresponding amino acid is attached (by aminoacyl-tRNA synthetases). tRNAs cope with the degeneracy of the genetic code in two manners: having more than one tRNA (with a specific anti-codon) for a particular amino acid; and 'wobble' base-pairing, i.e. permitting non-standard base-pairing at the 3rd anti-codon position. Lineage: Eukaryota; Metazoa; Chordata; Lepidosauria; Squamata; Lacertidae. The record is from Rfam by way of RNAcentral.
ACUGGGAUAGCUCAGUUGGUAGAGCAUAAGACUUCUAAUCUCAGGGUCAUAAGUUUGAGCCCCAUGUUGGGUA